CUGCAUCAGAGGCCAACAGCAUCCCAGGAUUUGCACACAUGAUGAUGGCGGAUCAAGCCAAGGGCAAAGGUACAGAACAGUUUUCUUCUUCAAGUUGUGCUCUCUUGUGUUUACAUCCAUGUUUUUAGUGCUUUUUUUUGUGCUAAUAGCUGUUCACCAUGUCUGACUUUUAAAAAAGUGUAAUUAAAUCAGUAUUAAUUGAAGACAAACACAAAAGGUAUUCUAACUCCAGUCUGAAUGGUCUUAACUGUGGCGUCUGCCUCCCUGGUGGUCUUAUACCCAGUAGGUAUUUGUAUCAGCUGCUAAAAUGCAUAAACGGCACAGUAUGACUCAGUCUCAUGAGGGUUUAUCUAGCUUGAGACCAUGAAUGAUGCUUUAUUUGCCAUGCGGUGUUUGUUGUGGUUUUGAUCUUGCAUGUGGAGUUUUGAGAAAUGUUGUGUUUGUGUUCAGCCAGGUGCCAAAAUGACUUUCUCUGCAUGUUUUUUUAAAGAAGGAGAGAAAGAAAGAACUGUGAUAUUUCAGUCUGGCAGUACAUGUGUGCUGUCAUGUCAUUUCAUAGCUGGCUCCUCUAGGGAGGCUUGUAGAUGGGCCCGAUUUAGCCUUGACUUGCUGUUGGGCUGAGCAUCCCUGUGGAACGCUGUUGUACCACAUGUCAUCCCUGCCGUCUCACCCGAUCCAAAAUUUCAUGUCUCAGAGUGGCCAAAUAACUUCAUUCUUCAAUAGACAAGGCUUGGAAUUGUCUUGAUUCUUUGCAG
Long non-coding RNA from Puntigrus tetrazona (Sumatra barb), 755 nucleotides. RefSeq lists it as uncharacterized. The record is from RefSeq and is a predicted model, not a curated record. The transcript is spliced from 3 exons. Lineage: Eukaryota; Metazoa; Chordata; Actinopteri; Cypriniformes; Cyprinidae.